UACGGGGGGAGCAAGCGUUGUUCGGAUUUACUGGGCGUAAAGGGCGCGUAGGCGGCGCAACAAGUCAGUUGUGAAAUCUCUGGGCUUAACCCAGAGCGGUCAACUGAUACUGUCGUGCUAGAGUGCGGAAGGGGCAACUGGAAUUCUCGGUGUAGCGGUGAAAUGCGUAGAUAUCGAGAGGAACACCUGCGGCGAAGGCGGGUUGCUGGGCCGACACUGACGCUGAGGCGCGAAAGCUAGGGGAGCGAACGGG
RNAcentral lists this ribosomal RNA (253 nucleotides) under uncultured bacterium. RNAcentral's name for it is "partial 16S ribosomal RNA". It matches the Rfam family "Bacterial small subunit ribosomal RNA", at positions 524 to 776 of the family's 1533-position model. RNAcentral also lists the same sequence under 1 other name. The record is from RNAcentral.